AGUGAACGCUGGCGGUAGGCCUAACACAUGCAAGUCGAACGGCAGCACAGUAAGAGCUUGCUCUUACGGGUGGCGAGUGGCGGACGGGUGAGGAAUACAUCGGAAUCUACUUAUUCGUGGGGGAUAACGUAGGGAAACUUACGCUAAUACCGCAUACUACCUACGGGUGAAAGCAGGGGAUCUUCGCACCUUGCGCGACUGAAUGAGCCGAUGUCGGAUUAGCUAGUUGGCGGGGUAAAGGCCCACCAAGGCGACGAUCCGUAGCUGGUCUGAGAGGAUGAUCAGCCACACUGGAACUGAGACACGGUCCAGACUCCUACGGGAGGCAGCAGUGGGGAAUAUUGGACAAUGGGCGCAAGCCUGAUCCAGCCAUACCGCGUGGGUGAAGAAGGCCUUCGGGUUGUAAAGCCCUUUUGUUGGGAAAGAAAAGCAGCAGGUGAAUACCCCGCUGUUCUGACGGUACCCAAAGAAUAAGCACCGGCUAACUUCGUG
RNAcentral lists this ribosomal RNA (492 nucleotides) under uncultured bacterium. RNAcentral's name for it is "partial 16S ribosomal RNA". It matches the Rfam family "Bacterial small subunit ribosomal RNA", at positions 29 to 507 of the family's 1533-position model. The record is from RNAcentral.